RNA transcript from Rosa rugosa (rugosa rose), 2472 nucleotides. It is a transcript of the gene named D-xylose-proton symporter-like 3, chloroplastic, with no coding region annotated. NCBI's taxonomy places the organism in Eukaryota, Viridiplantae, Streptophyta, Magnoliopsida, Rosales, Rosaceae. The transcript has 16 exons. The record is from RefSeq and is a predicted model, not a curated record.
CAUCAACGUCUAAAGUCAAACAAAAUAUCUCACUCACUCACAGAGUCACAGAGAGAGAGAGAGAGACAGUGAAGCGGGAAAUAUCAACGACUAAUUAACAACCUUGUGGCAGAUCAGUUCCCAAAAAUGGCUUUCUCAACUCGGCCACUGAUCAACCACACACUAUACUCACCACCACUUCAUCAACCCAAGAAGCAGAAACCUGUAAUCCCACUUCUCUCUAAUGCCCACUCUACCCCUCCUCCCCUUCGUUCUUCUGCUUGUUUCAGGGCCAAGUUUGGCACUUUCACAAACCCAUCAUCAAAACUCGGAUUCAGUGUCAAGGUUGGGGCUCAGAAUGACUAUUCUUCAGGGGAUGAGGCUCAGUCUCUUAUUCCUGAGGCAACUCUACAAGAGGAUUAUUCUUGGGUUUCUGUGAUUAUUCCUUUUGUGUUUCCGGCAUUGGGUGGUCUGUUAUUUGGGUACGACAUUGGUGCCACUUCUGGUGCUACCAUCUCAUUAACGUCCGCUGAGCUUAGUGGCACAACUUGGUUUAAUCUGACAGCUGUUCAGCUUGGUCUUGUGGUUAGUGGUUCCCUCUAUGGAGCUCUUUUUGGUUCUCUCCUUGUCUACCCAAUUGCUGAUUUCCUUGGAAGGAGGAGAGAACUCAUCACAGCAGCUGCACUUUAUCUCCUUGGGGGACUGAUCACCGGAUGUGCUCCGGGACUUGGUGUUCUCUUAGUAGGGCGUCUUUUAUAUGGCAUUGGUAUUGGAAUGGCCAUGCAUGGGGCUCCACUCUAUAUUGCUGAAACAUGUCCAUCUCAAAUUCGUGGAACUCUAGUGUCAUUGAACGAGCUCUUCAUAGUUUUGGGGAUCCUGUUGGGUUAUUUAGUAGGAAGCUUUCAGAUUGAUGCAGUUGGGGGGUGGCGUUACAUGUAUGGAAUAAGUGCUCCCAUGGCUUUAUUUAUGGGAAUAGGCAUGUGGAUUCUCCCACCCUCUCCUCGCUGGUUGCUUCUCAGGGCAGCUCAAGGUAAAGGGUCUGUGAAAGAAUACAAAGAAAGAGCCGUUCUUGCCUUGAGCAAGCUGAGAGGCCGGCCUCCUGGUGACAAAGUGUCUGAAAAGAAAAUAGAAGAGACAUUUGUUCCUUUGAAGUCAGCCUAUGCAGAUCAGGAAUCAGAGGGGAGUUUGAAGGAGGUCUUUCAAGGCCCUAGUUUGAAGGCCUUCAUAAUUGCUGGGGGUUUGGUCCUUUUUCAACAAAUAACAGGGCAACCAAGUGUCCUAUAUUAUGCAGGUCCAAUUCUUCAGAGCGCAGGAUUCUCCGGUGCCGCUGAUGCUGCCAAAGUAUCGGUUAUAAUUGGGUUGUUCAAGUUCGUGAUGACAGGGAUAGCUGUCCUGAAAGUUGAUGAUCUAGGAAGAAGACCUUUGCUGAUAGGAGGAGUCAGUGGACUUGCUCUUUCCUUGUUUCUCCUCUCUGCUUACUACAAAUUUCUUGGAGGGUUCCCACUUGUUGCUGUAGCUUCUCUUCUUCUCUAUGUUGGUUGCUACCAGAUAUCUUUUGGUCCUAUAAGUUGGCUUAUGAUGUCGGAAAUAUUCCCGCUUCAGACAAGAGGAAAAGGGAUUAGUCUUGCAGUUCUUACUAACUUCGGUUCAAAUGCUCUUGUGACAUUUGCAUUCUCACCAUUGAAGGAGGCACUUGGAGCAGACAACCUUUUCCUCCUUUUUGGGGCUAUCGCCUUGAUAUCUCUUCUGUUCGUUGUACUAAUUGUCCCAGAAACCAAAGGUUUGAGUUUGGAAGAAAUAGAAUCCAAAAUCUUGAAAUAGCUGCUAACCCAUGUCCAGAGCCUAUCAUUGUGACACGGUGGCCUCCUGCCCCUAAGUCCCCAUUGCGUGCUUGGUUGCCUUCUGCUUCCAACACUUGGUUGCCACGCACCAAGAGCAGGUGGAAGUGCACACUGAAGGAUGGCAUUAUGCACAUAAACAACAAGGAUGUCCUUUUUAAUAAGGCGACCGGAGAAUUCGACUUCUGAUUAGUUGGAGAAAUGUCUAUUCUGGCAAUCAGCGGCUGUUGCAUUAGCAGAGCAAGUCCACAGUUACCAUUGGCCCAUUGGUGUUUUGUAAUUUUUCUUUAUGAACUUAAUUAUGAAAGCUAUGAGGGGAAGAGAAACAUUCUAGAUAUCUUUUUAAGAUUGGGACCGAUGAUGUUGGCCUUUGUACAUAAAGGAUGAAUUUUUUUUCGGCCUUUACAAUGGGAGGGCUACUGAGGCGCGUUUCUGAAGUUUAAAUAUUCUGCAAUGGAAUGUGAUUCCAUUGACUUUGUAUACUUGGAUUUAUUGGUUUAAUUUAAGAAUUGCAUUGUUUAGUAACUAGGCAUUCUAGAUAAUGAUAGUUUGUAUCGGUGAUGUAGCUGUGGUUUAUGGAGUUUCCAAACCUACUGAAACCAUAUAUUCUGAAAUGUCGUGGUUAGUUUAAUAAAUUUCUAUAUAUAUUUACUGA